Molecule: ribosomal RNA, 619 nt
Filed under: uncultured bacterium
Lineage: Bacteria
Description: bacterial SSU rRNA
Rfam family: Bacterial small subunit ribosomal RNA
Source: RNAcentral
UGACGGUACCAGUAGAAGAAGCCCCGGCUAACUACGUGCCAGCAGCCGCGGUAAGACGUAGGGGGCCAGCGUUGUUCGGAAUUACUGGGUGUAAAGGGUUCGUAGGCGGUGUGGCAAGUCGGGAGUGAAAUCUAUGGGCUUAACUCAUAGACUGCUUCCGAAACUGCUGUGCUCGAGUGUGGGAGAGGCGCGUGGAAUUGCAGGUGUAGCGGUGAAAUGCGUAGAUAUCUGCAGGAACACCCGUGGCGAAAGCGGCGCGCUGGACCACUACUGACGCUGAGGAACGAAAGCUAGGGGAGCAAACAGGAUUAGAUACCCUGGUAGUCCUAGCCCUAAACGAUCAGGACUUGGGGUGCCGCACGUUCGUGCGUCGUCCCGGAGCUAACGCGUUAAGUCCUGCACCUGGGGAGUACGGUCGCAAGACUGAAACUCAAAGGAAUUGACGGGGGCCCGCACAAGCGGUGGAACAUGUGGUUCAAUUCGACGCUACGCGAGGAACCUUACCUGGGCUCGAAGCGCACCUGACCAGCUGUAGAAAUACGGCCUUCCCGCAAGGGACAGGUGUGGAAGCGCUGCAUGGCUGUCGUCAGCUCGUGCCGUGAGGUGUUGGGUUAAGUCC